UUACUUUGUAAAAUAGAAGAUGAGACACACAGUAUAUAAUUAAACUUUGUAAGUCGGUGUAUUUUAUGAUAAUCAUGUACUAAAUAAAUUAUGACUCAGACGAUAUUACUAAUAAACUUCUUAGAUUUAAGUUUAUCCAACAAAACUUUCUCAUAAACUUAAAUCUUUUCAUCCUUCAUUCCUAUACUCCAACCUUCCAUGUGCAUCAUUCCACGUUUGUUUCUUCCAUUAAAAGUUUGAUUCUUCAUUUUCUUCAUGCUGGUCGUGUUGUCUUUCACCUAGAUUGGUCCCUCU
Molecule: long non-coding RNA, 294 nt
Filed under: Vigna radiata
Lineage: Eukaryota; Viridiplantae; Streptophyta; Magnoliopsida; Fabales; Fabaceae
Description: long non-coding RNA (VRAD_LNC009362)
Source: RNAcentral